RNAcentral lists this ribosomal RNA (433 nucleotides) under uncultured bacterium. RNAcentral describes it as "partial 16S ribosomal RNA". It matches the Rfam family "Bacterial small subunit ribosomal RNA", at positions 29 to 507 of the family's 1533-position model. The record is from RNAcentral.
AACGAACGCUGGCGGCAUGCCUAACACAUGCAAGUCGAACGAAGCCUUCGGGCUUAGUGGCGCACGGGUGCGUAACGCGUGGGAAUCUGCCCCUUUCUUCGGAAUAACAGUUAGAAAUGACUGCUAAUACCGGAUGAAGUCUUCGGACCAAAGAUUUAUCGGCAAGGGAUGAGCCCGCGUAGGAUUAGGUAGUUGGUGGGGUAAAGGCCUACCAAGCCGACGAUCCUUAGCUGGUCUGAGAGGAUGAUCAGCCACACUGGGACUGAGACACGGCCCAGACUCCUACGGGAGGCAGCAGUGGGGAAUAUUGGACAAUGGACGCAAGUCUGAUCCAGCAAUGCCGCGUGAGUGAUGAAGGCAUUAGGGUUGUAAAGCUCUUUUACCAGGGAUGAUAAUGACAGUACCUGGAGAAUAAGCUCCGGCUAACUCCGUG